AAUGGCUGCACCUGCAGCAUAUGGAUGUUCCCAGGCUAGGGGUUGAAUAGGAGCUACAGCUGCAUGGGAUCCAACCCUAUGCCAUAGCCACAGCAACUCAGGAUCCGAGCCAUGUCUGCAACCUACACCACAGCUCAUGGCAAUGCUGGAUCCUUAGCCCACUGAGCGAUGCCAGGAAUCAAGCCCACAUCCUCAUGGAUACUAGUCAGGUUCAUAUCACACUGAGCCACAAUGGGAACUCCCUGGAGUCUUCUUUGUUAACAAAAGCAUCCUGAUACUCAAACAUUCAUUUUAUUUUAAAAAGAAAAAAUAUUUAAGCCAAGUUGAUAUAGAAAUACUUAGUGGUUUUUUUGGCUUUUUUUCAGUUUUGUUUUUGGCCACACCCAUGGUAUAGCAGCGACCUGAGUCACAGCAGUGACAAACAAGAUCCUUUAACUUACUGAGCCACAGGGGCUUUAAUAAAGAGUAAAGCAAACUAGAGUAAAUAGAAGUAAGCAAAGUGGUUUGGACAUUAAAGAAGCUAAUGGUAUUGGUCUGUUACCUCAGAGUCAGGGAUAGCGCUCAGAACAAAGGAGAUAGUAAUCUACCUGACAUGGUUAGACUCUAUGAAAUAGGAAUGUAUUUAUUGGUGCUUCUGGGGUAACUUCGAUAUGUGUCCUAGAUGGCUUAUUUGUACCCAUUCACAAAGUAGCUACCAUCCCAGCAAGGACUUUCUGAUACCUCCUUCAUGCAUCCUAAAGUCUGAUUAGUCCUAUCUCCUUUUGUCCUUUCAAAUAUCAACAUAAUCAUUUUUACCUCUUGGUUUUUUUUACCUUCUCCUUCAGUCUGGUGUGUCCUCUCCCCUCAGUUUUUUUUCCUGUCUUCUCUGUCUAAACCAUUCCUCAAAAUCUAUCUCUUGUUUUGCUCUGAUAUGUUUCAUCUCAAUGCUUCCUCUUGCUUAUGAAUUCCAAAACAUUCACUGAAUCUCAAAAUAUUCACAUAUCAUUGACUGUCAUUUAAAAACAUAUAUGAGUAUUAUCUUUCUGAUACGAUUAUUUCUGGGACUACCAUAUUGGUUUGCAUAGUGCUUAUUCAACAAAGACUUGUUGAAAUUGGAAGAAACAAGACCAGCUGGGUAAUAUGCAGCCACCCAAAUAUAAGGUGAUGGGGAAUGAGUAAUGGGAAUAAGGAUGGAGAUAAAAAGGAAAUAGGAUUUGGUAGUGGAUGAGUAUUGUGUGAUAGAGAGGAAAAUAUUGGUGGAUGCCAGGAUCUUUGGUUUGUGUGUCUGGAGAUCCUUAUAAGUGCUAUUAAUGGAAAUGGGUAAUUGUCAAAGGAAGAUUCAUGGUAGAAAGGGAAGAGUUAUUAUUGGGUCUACCCAAUGUGUUGGCCAUGUGGUCAAUCUUUAUAAAGUAAAAUUUAAAGGGAUUGAAAGAAUUGUUACUGCAGUUUCUCCCUCAUUAGUCUUCAAGAAGCCCUGCUCUGUCUGAUUUCAAUUCCACCUUUGUAUUUCUGCCUUACCAAUCUGGGGUAAGAUACAGAAAACUGUAUUUCUCAGAUUCAGUUACCAGCUGGUUUCCUGUUGGGUUUUGCCAAGAAACACUAGGAUGAUGGGAACACAAGAAAGAAGGAAAGACUUCCUCAUUCCUAUUUGCUGUUCCUACUGCCAUCACCUUGGCAGUGACAAUUUGCUGCAGCAGUGACAUUUCACCCCAGUAGGAACAGUUUGUCUUAUGAAUGGCGGCUGGUUUCAAUCUCCAGCUUCUUUGAAUUUUAGUUAGUUAAUUGCUCCCUUCCUUAAGUACCAACUGCAAGCAGGCAUUGUCCCCUCCUCAGGGAUCUGAGUUCACCAAGGUUCCUACUCUGGGAUCCUAAAUUCUAGUCAUUUAACCUCUGCCUUUUCAUUCUUCAAGCUUUGUGGGUAGUAGCUUGCAUGUUAUGGCUGGGUAAUCUUUAGUGUUUUCUGUUGUUCUUUCAGCUCUCAAACACCUGUAUGACCUGCCCCUGUACUAAAUCUUUUCCUAGAAUACUUACUAUUUUCUGAUGGCAUGGGACUGACACUGCUAGGAGAGUCUAGCAGUUAAAGGUUUAUGCAAAGAGCAUUGGGGUCUCCAGUAAUUCCUUUUGGAUGAUUAAGGAAGAAUUUCUGUUAAAAAGUAGCAUUUGCAAAUGACAUUGAAUAUGCGUAGGAUUUAGAGGUGUAAGGAUGGGAUGGAAAAAGCCUUUCAUGGCAUGAAAACACACACACACACACACACACACACACACACACACAAAAUCGACUCAUUAACAGGAAACACGAAACGUAAUUAUGUUGGAAAGAAUGAAAUGUAAAAGUUAAUAUUUGGUAAUAACUUUGCAAAAGUAGCAUUGUAUCAGAUAUUGUUCAGGGGAUCUUAAAUGCCAGACUCAGAAUUGCUGAACUUAUUAAGGCUUUUGAGUAGCUAGGUUGAAAUGUUAGGAAGUUAGAGGAAGGAAGAAAGGAAACUACUUAUUGAACAGCUAUACUUUGGAAGAUAAUGUAACGAGUAUGAGAAAGUCCAGUGUUAUCCCAAGAUAAUAAGAAUGUCUUAUCCAUCCAUUUUUCUAAUCAAAUUUAACCUGCUCUGAGUUCUCAACCAUCUGAUUGAUGGGGCAUAUUGGUCAAUAUUAGAACUACUAUUUACUUCCAUCUAAGAAGCUAGGGCGCACAUUAUUCUGUGAAAAUGGAAAAGGUCCCUGGUCCUUAGUACAUGAUGACCACCAUUGAUUUGUUCACUUGAAUGCUGGGCAGCUCUGUUGAGAGCUGCAGAGAUGUUCCGAUUGGGUUCCAGAGAUGUCUUUUCACAUGGUCCUCUUUGCCACAAGAAAUUUGCUCUCAGAACCAGAGUAUUUGUUUUUCAGCCUCUUUGAUCCCUACAUUCAUCCCUCAUCCAAAGUUUUGCCACAGCCUGAGCUUUGCUUGGAGUAAGAUGCAGGUUCUGCAUGUGCCUUGUGGUAGGCAGAAUAAUGGUCCCCCAAAGAUGUUACAUCCCUCUAGAAGCUGGUGAAGGCAAGGGAACGAACUUUUCUCCAGAGCCUCCAGAAGGAGCAUAGUCUUGGUGACAUCUUGUUUUUAAACUGGUGAGACCUUGGGUUUCUAACCUACAGAACUAUAUGAUAAUUAAUGUGCAGUUUUAAACUGUAAGUUUGUGGUCCUUUCUUACAGCAGCAAUGGGAAACUGAAUACUCCAAGAACUGCCCCAUCUCUUUCCCCUAGACUUGGGGUGCCUCCCUCACACUUGCACUCCUGCCAGAGUGUGCCUUCCUCCUAUCUCAAUUUCAACAUAGUCACCCUUCCCUCUUUCAGGGCAAUUCUGAAGCACAAGGAAUUUCAGUACAAAGCCUGAAAUACAGAAAUAUUUUCAUUUUCUCCAAGAAAAGCCUAGACCUUGCAAGAGUCCGCAAACCGCAUCCACAGCCCACAUCUAGUUCACUGCUUGUUUUUGAAAAUAAAGUUUUAUGGGAAUACAUUCAUUUUCAUAUUGUUUAUCUGCUUUCACACUAUAAAGGCAGUUAAAUAGUUGUGACAGUGACCAUAUGGUCUACGAAUUCUGAAAUUCUUACUCUCUGGGACUGCAUAAAAUGUGUGCUGACCUCUAUCUUAGAAACAAAUUGUGGUUAAUCCUAGGGCAGCGAUGUGGAUAAGUGUGGGGGGAGCAGAAUUUCCUUUUCAAUUGUUAUUCUAUAGCAGCCAUAAGUAAGGUAGAUAUUAGUCUCAGUAGAUUAACUCAUGGUUGGUUUAAUGGGCUGAAAGGUGGCCCCAAAGACAUCAGGUUCUAUCUCUUGAACCUAUUCAUGUUACUUGGAAAAAGGGGUCUUUGCAGAUGCAAAUAAAUUAAGGAUAAUUGAGAUGAAGAGAUAAUUCUGGAUUAUCCUGAUGGGCUCUAAAUGCCAUCAUAAAUGUCCUUAUAAGAAAUAGGUAGAGGGUAUUUGGGAAGGUGAUGUGAAGACAGAGGCAGAGAUUGCAGUGACAGACCCCACAAGUCAAGGAACAAGCAUCAAGAAAUGUCAGCAGCCACCAGAAGCUAGAAAGGCAAGGGAUGGAUGCUCUCCAAGAACCUCAGCGGGAAGCACAGCUCUGCUGACACCUCGAUUCUGGAUGUCUGGCUUCCAGAGCCAUGAGGAAGUAAAUGUCUGUCAUUUUAAACCAUCAAAGUUGUGUUAAUCUGGUAUAAUAGUAAUGGGCAAUUAAAACAGAUGGGAAGACCCUAUUGAAAAGAUAGCAACUUUUAACCAGCCCUUAUGAUUGAAGCCCAUAGAAAUAUCUGCUUAUGAAUUCCAGACUCAUUAUUUUACAUAAUCUCUGGCUUUGGUGGGAGCAAUGCAGGGAAAUGUGAAGGAACAAGCUUGGGACUUACAGACUUCGUGGGUAUUCAAAUCACUUAGCAGUGUAUAAAUGAUUUCACGGUCAUACAGUCAAAGUUCUUCAAGUAAAUCAUUUUGAUUCCCACUUCUGUCUGGCAUAGCGUAAUAAUCAGCAUUUCAAAAUGAGCCCUUGGCUGUGCUAUCAUUGCCUCAAUAACCGCUCAGGGAGCAUACGGUGUGCCAGCUUACAAUCCCUCUCUAUUUAUAAUCACGUGUUUCAAAAUCAACAUAUAUACAUAUUGUAUUUUAUUGUAUAUAUUUAAGCUGCUUCUCUCACCCCCAUUCACAUAUUUAAAAUGCUAAAUUUGCUAAAUAUUGAGGCCUGUUUCACUGAACACCUUUUACAACUGGCUUACUCAUCGAAUGGUACAUAACUGAACUCAAUAUCUAUAAUAUGUUUUCUAGAUUCAAGAUACUGCAUAUCUUGGUAAAAUUGAUAAUAAUAAAAUGAUCUCUUUGGUGUUUUGAUGGUUUACUGCUAAAAUUUUGAAAAGUAAUCAUAGUAUACACUUCACUCUACCAAAUCAAAGUCAGCUUUUAAAACUCAUCUACAAGUGGGAAUAAUUCCUUUUCCUGAUAGCACACAACUCUUGUGCACCAUAUUGAAUUGUCUUGGUCCAGUCACAGCUCCAGGAAUUAUUUCUGGACAGGCUGGACUCCUCACAAGGUAACCUAACAGGAUGCGGACUCAGGUAAUGUAGGAGUGCUGCUGCUCACCUGGGAUCUCUCUGAGGCUGAGAGUGUCUGCUUCUGAGGUUCAUUCCAUUAAGCUUCCCCAGAAUGCCCCUCCCUUUGAACAACCUCUUGUGUGGCCAACUCAACAAUGCACCUUUGUCACGACCCUCCCUUCCUCCCUCCUGUCCCCCUUCAGCACAUUGCUGAAGAAUCCGCG
RNAcentral lists this long non-coding RNA (5254 nucleotides) under Sus scrofa (pig). Its description in RNAcentral is "lncRNA (ENSSSCG00025012491.1)". Lineage: Eukaryota; Metazoa; Chordata; Mammalia; Artiodactyla; Suidae. The record is from RNAcentral.